This 439-nucleotide ribosomal RNA is filed under the name uncultured bacterium. Its description in RNAcentral is "bacterial SSU rRNA". It matches the Rfam family "Bacterial small subunit ribosomal RNA", at positions 67 to 518 of the family's 1533-position model. The record is from RNAcentral.
CGGUAAGUUUCGGAUGGAAGUUAAGACUAGUGGCGGACGGGUGAGUAACGCGUGGGUAACCUGCCUCAUACGAGGGGAUAACUAGUUAGAAUGACUGACUAACACCGCAAUAAUAUAGUGAAACCGCAUGAUUUUUGCUAUCAAAUAUUUAUAGGUAUGAGAUGGGCCCGCGUCUGAUUAGCUAGUUGGUGGGGUAAAAGCCUACCAAGGCGACGAUCAGUAGCCGGCUUGAGAGAGUGACCGGCCACAUUGGGACUGAGACACGGCCCAAACUCCUACGGGAGGCAGCAGUGGGGAAUAUUGGACAAUGGGGGAAACCCUGAUCCAGCGAACCGCCGCGUGAGUGAAGAAGUAUUUCGGUAUGUAAAGCUCUAUCAGCAGGGAAGAUAAUGACAGUACCUGACUAAGAAGCCCCGGCUAACUACGUGCCAGCAGCCGC